This 429-nucleotide ribosomal RNA is filed under the name uncultured bacterium. Its description in RNAcentral is "bacterial SSU rRNA". It matches the Rfam family "Bacterial small subunit ribosomal RNA", at positions 355 to 776 of the family's 1533-position model. The record is from RNAcentral.
UUAGGAAUAUUCGUCAAUGGAGGAAACUCUGAACGAGCAAUGCCGCGUGAGUGAUGAAGGCCCUAUGGGUCGUAAAACUCUGUUGUGAAGGAAGAAUAUCUGAAAUAGGUAAUGAUUUCAGACUGACGGUACUUCACCAGAAAGCCCCGGCUAACUACGUGCCAGCAGCCGCGGUAAUACGUAGGGGGCGAGCGUUAUCCGGAUUUAUUGGGCGUAAAGCGUGUGUAGGCGGUUUAUUAAGUAUAAGAUUUAAGCCUGGAGCUUAACUCCAGUUCGUCUUAUAAACUGGUAGACUUGAGUGUGGUAGAGGCAAGUGGAAUUUCUAGUGUAGCGGUUAAAUGCGUAGAUAUUAGAAGGAACACCAGUGGCGAAGGCGGCUUGCUGGGCCAUUACUGACGCUGAGGCACGAAAGCGUGGGGAGCAAAUAGG